AACCUUUCAUCAAGGCGGAACGGUGCUUAUAUUGGGGUCGUCGCGCAAGCGACUAUGGCGAUAAAGGCGCGUGUAAUAACCAGACCGGACCCGGGUGCGAAUCCCGGCGGCUCCACCAACUUCUUCCGGCUCGUUGGGCCGCGUUCAUGGGGCCGAAUUAGGAUCGACGGCUGGCUAAAGACGUAGCUUUCGCCCGCAUGGGCUCCGUUAUCAGCCCAUUGUUAAAGUUGCCAACGACAACUUUGCUGAAGAGGCCGUUCUCGCUGCGUAAUGCAGCGCGAGCGUCUCGCUCUUAAGUCCUGACCUCUAGCAUGGUCAGGCGGGGUUCGGAGGGCGCCUGGCAACAGAAGCCCUCCACU
This 359-nucleotide transfer-messenger RNA is filed under the name Marinicauda salina. Its description in RNAcentral is "Alphaproteobacteria transfer-messenger RNA". It matches the Rfam family "Alphaproteobacteria transfer-messenger RNA". From Rfam's summary of the family: Bacterial tmRNA, also known as 10Sa RNA or SsrA, is named for its dual tRNA and mRNA-like properties. Its role is to liberate the mRNA from a stalled ribosome. The record is from Rfam by way of RNAcentral. Lineage: Bacteria; Pseudomonadati; Pseudomonadota; Alphaproteobacteria; Maricaulales; Maricaulaceae.